GUGUCAGCAGCCGCGGUAAUACGUAGGGUGCAAGCGUUGUCCGGAAUUAUUGGGCGUAAAGAGCUCGUAGGCGGUCUGUCGCGUCGGAUGUGAAAACUCGGGGCUCAACCCCGAGCCUGCAUACGAUACGGGCAGACUUGAGUUCGGCAGGGGAGACUGGAAUUCCUGGUGUAGCGGUGAAAUGCGCAGAUAUCAGGAGGAACACCGGUGGCGAAGGCGGGUCUCUGGGCCGAUACUGACGCUGAGGAGCGAAAGCGUGGGGAGCGAACAGGAUUAGAUACCCUGGUAGUCCACGCCGUAAACGGUGGGUGCUAGGUGUGGGGAACUUUCCACGUUCUCCGUGCCGCAGCUAACGCAUUAAGCACCCCGCCUGGGGAGUACGGCCGCAAGGCUAAA
RNAcentral lists this ribosomal RNA (396 nucleotides) under uncultured bacterium. RNAcentral describes it as "bacterial SSU rRNA". It matches the Rfam family "Bacterial small subunit ribosomal RNA", at positions 505 to 898 of the family's 1533-position model. The record is from RNAcentral.